Molecule: non-coding RNA, 480 nt
Organism: Pelobates cultripes (western spadefoot toad)
Lineage: Eukaryota; Metazoa; Chordata; Amphibia; Anura; Pelobatidae
Source: the annotation of a GenBank genome assembly
UCCAGGCACCCAGACCACUUCUGCCCAUUGGAGUGGUCUGGGUGCCAACUCCCACUACCCUUAACCCUGCAAGUAUAAUUACUGCAGUUUUCAUAAACUGCAAUAUUUACCUUGCAGGGUUAAGUCCUCCUCUAGUGGCUGUCUAUCAGACAGCCACUAGAGGGACUUCCGUGUUCUUAGAACACGAAAAGUGUUUUAAGCGAUGCUGGACGUCCUCACGCUAUGUGAAGACCUCCAGCGUCGCCGAAAUCCCCAUAGGAAAGCACUCAUGUGGAUUAGGUCUCCCCCGUCGGCUGUCGUCGGCAAGGGAGGAGAGUAGGCGGAGCCUGACCAUCGGUGCUGGACUCCGGUAAGUCACUGAAGGGGUUUUAAUGGAUGUAUGCAUAAAUAAAGUGCUAUACUUGAUGAGGCAAUAUCCACUGUAACUAAUAUUAAGUCAACCUGUACAAGGUGAAUACAAACGUGCACAAUCAAAUCCAU